This 429-nucleotide ribosomal RNA is filed under the name Chloroflexota bacterium. RNAcentral's name for it is "Chloroflexi bacterium partial 16S ribosomal RNA". It matches the Rfam family "Bacterial small subunit ribosomal RNA", at positions 355 to 776 of the family's 1533-position model. Lineage: Bacteria; Bacillati; Chloroflexota. The record is from RNAcentral.
UGGGGAAUAUUGCACAAUGGGCGCAAGCCUGAUGCAGCCAUGCCGCGUGUAUGAAGAAGGCCUUCGGGUUGUAAAGCACUUUCAGCGGGGAGGAAGGCGGUGAGGUUAAUAACCUCACCGAUUGACGUUACCCGCAGAAGAAGCACCGGCUAACUCCGUGCCAGCAGCCGCGGUAAUACGGAGGGUGCAAGCGUUAAUCGGAAUUACUGGGCGUAAAGCGCACGCAGGCGGUCUGUCAAGUCGGAUGUGAAAUCCCCGGGCUCAACCUGGGAACUGCAUUCGAAACUGGCAGGCUAGAGUCUUGUAGAGGGGGGUAGAAUUCCAGGUGUAGCGGUGAAAUGCGUAGAGAUCUGGAGGAAUACCGGUGGCGAAGGCGGCCCCCUGGACGAAGACUGACGCUCAGGUGCGAAAGCGUGGGGAGCAAACAGG